This 1556-nucleotide ribosomal RNA is filed under the name metagenome. Its description in RNAcentral is "SSU rRNA". It matches the Rfam family "Eukaryotic small subunit ribosomal RNA". The record is from RNAcentral.
UCUGGUUGAUCCUGCCAGUAGUCAUAUGCUUGUCUCAAAGAUUAAGCCAUGCAUGUCUAAGUAUAAGCUUUUAUACAGUGAGACUGCGAAUGGCUCAUUAAAACAGUUAUAGUUUAUUUGCUAUUCGUUUAUAUGGAUAACCGUAGUAAUUCUAGAGCUAAUACAUGCAUUAUUCGCGACUCACGAAGCGUAGUAUUUAUUAGAUAAGCACCACGGGCUUCGGCUUGUGUGAGGAAUCAUAAUAACUGAGCGAACUACCAUCGGUAGUGAAGCAUUCAAGUUUCUGCCCUAUCAGCUUUCGAUGGUAGUGUAUUGGACUACCAUGGCGUUGACGGGUAACGGAGAAUUAGGGUUCGAUUCCGGAGAGGGAGCCUGAGAAACGGCUACCACAUCUAAGGAUGGCCGCGGUAAUUCCAGCUCCAGUAGCGUAUACUAAAGUUGUUGCAGUUAAAAAGCUCGUAGUUGAAUUUCUGUGUAGUGUACUUGCGGUCUUCGGACCAAUAUAUACUGCACAUCCAUCUGAACAGCACUUCUUGUCAUUCAUUUGUCGGUUGUGUGAUCAGAUACUUUACCUUGAGAAAAAUAGAGUGUUCCAAGCAGGCGUCCGCCUGAAUAAUAAAGCAUGGAAUAAUACAAUAGGACUGGGUUCUAUUGGUGCAUAGAACUUAGUAAUGAUUAAUAGGGACAGUUGGGGGCAUUUGUAUUUAAUUGUCAGAGGUGAAAUUCUUUGAUUUAUUAAAGACAAACCUAUGCGAAAGCAUUAGCCAAGGAUGUUUUCAUUAAUCAAGAACGAAAGUUAAGGGAUCGAAGACGAUCAGAUACCGUCGUAGUCUUAACCAUAAACUAUGCCGACUAGAGAUUGGAGGUGCAAUCUCAAUACUCCUUCAGCAUCUUAGGAGAAAUCAAAGUCUUUGGGUUCUGGGGGUAGUAUGGUCGCAAGACUGAAACUUAAAGGAAUUGACGGAAGGGCACCACAAGGUGUGGAGCCUGCGGCUUAAUUUGACCCAACACGGGGAAACUUACCAGGUCCAGACAUGGGAAGGAUUGACAGAUUGGAGAUCUUUCUUGAUUCCAUGGAUGGUGGUGCAUGGCCGUUCUUAGUUGGUGGAGUGAUUUGUCAGGUUAAUUCCGAUAACGAACGAGACCUCAACCUGCUAACUAGUUGCAGCUUCUUUCAAGUUGUAGACUUCUUAGAGGGACUAUAGGAUUUAACCUAAGGAAGUUUGAGGCAAUAACAGGUCUGUGAUGCCCUUAGAUGUCCUGGGCCGCACGCGCGCUACACUGAUGCAGGCACUAAGUCUCCAAUUUCGAAAGAUUUUGGGAACCUUCAAACUGCAUCGUGCUGGGGAUUGACACUUGUAAUUAUUUGUCAUCAACGAGGUAUACCUAGUAAGCGCAAGUCAUCAGCUUGCACUGAUUACGUCCCUGCCCUUUGUACACACCGCCCGUCGCUCCUACCGAUUGGGUGAUGCGGUGAGCCUUUCGGACGGGCGCUUCGGCGCCUGAAAGUUAUGCAAAUCUCAUCACUUAGAGGAAGGAGAAGUCGUAACAAGGUU